CACAAGGCGUGCCUACAAUACAACAACGAACGCAAAAUAAAGAAAUAGUCAAAUUUGAUUUACCGGUUAGGCUCAAUAGCAUCCAAAAUGGUUCCCAGGAAGUAGCCAUGAUGCCUACAUCCUCAGGAAUUCUGGUGUGUGGAGAUUGUUUGAGACAAAUCAAAUGCCUGAAGGACAUCUCCUCGCUGAUUCUGCAUAUCCUCUUAAAAAAUGGAUUUGGACACCAUUGAAAGAGAACCAGGUUGUUGGGCCUGCUGAAUUAAGAUAUAAUGAAGCACAUAUCUGAACACGUGCUAUAAUAGAACGACUGUUUGGUGUUCUAAAAAUGCGCUUUCAAUGCCUGGACAGAUCAGGGGGGGGAUCUCCAUUUCAGUCCGGAAAAAGCUAUAAAAAUCAUAGUGGCAUGUUGCUGUCUACACAACAUGGCACAGGAGCAUGGGAUGUUGAACGACUUAAUUCCAACACCACAGCCCCCAGGUGAAAUCUUUGAGCCUGAUGUAAUUAAUCAUCCCCAACCCCUCAAUGCCCAUUUGGAGAGAUCUGCAACUAUUCAAGAUUUCUUUUCAGAUUGAAGAUUCUCAGAAAUGGAAUACCACUCCCCUCCCUCUCUCCUCAUCCCUAUAUUUACCACAUUUUCCCUAAAUAAAUGUGUACUUUACUCAAAUUCAAA
Long non-coding RNA from Bombina bombina (fire-bellied toad), 670 nucleotides. RefSeq lists it as uncharacterized. NCBI's taxonomy places the organism in Eukaryota, Metazoa, Chordata, Amphibia, Anura, Bombinatoridae. The record is from RefSeq and is a predicted model, not a curated record. The transcript has 5 exons.